GACGUACCACCCAAACGUUAUUCGGAAUCACUGGGCUUACAGAGUCCGUAGGCGGCUCGGCAAGUUGGGCGUGAAAUACCUCAGCUCAACUGAGGAAUUGCGCUCAAAACUACCGAGCUGGAGAGAGACAGAGGUGAGCGGAACUGAUGGUGGAGCGGUGAAAUGCGUUGAUAUCAUCAGGAACACCGGUGGCGAAGGCGGCUCACUGGGUCUUUUCUGACGCUGAGGGACGAAAGCUAGGGUAGCGAACGGG
RNAcentral lists this ribosomal RNA (253 nucleotides) under uncultured bacterium. Its description in RNAcentral is "partial 16S ribosomal RNA". It matches the Rfam family "Bacterial small subunit ribosomal RNA", at positions 524 to 776 of the family's 1533-position model. The record is from RNAcentral.